RNAcentral lists this ribosomal RNA (492 nucleotides) under uncultured bacterium. RNAcentral's name for it is "partial 16S ribosomal RNA". It matches the Rfam family "Bacterial small subunit ribosomal RNA", at positions 29 to 507 of the family's 1533-position model. The record is from RNAcentral.
AGUGAACGCUGGCGGUAGGCCUAACACAUGCAAGUCGAACGGCAGCACAGUAAGAGCUUGCUCUUACGGGUGGCGAGUGGCGGACGGGUGAGGAAUACAUCGGAAUCUACUUUUUCGUGGGGGAUAACGUAGGGAAACUUACGCUAAUACCGCAUACGACCUACGGGUGAAAGCAGGGGAUCUUCGGACCUUGCGCGAUUGAAUGAGCCGAUGUCGGAUUAGCUAGUUGGCGGGGUAAAGGCCCACCAAGGCGACGAUCCGUAGCUGGUCUGGGAGGAUGAGCAGCCACACUGGAACUGGAACACGGUCCAGACUCCUACGGGAGGGAGCAGUGGGGAAUAUUGGACAAUGGGCGCAAGCCUGAUCCAGCCAUACCGCGUGGGUGAAGAAGGCCUUCGGGUUGUAAAGCCCUUUUGUUGGGAAAGAAAAGCAGCAGGUUAAUACCCCGCUGUUCUGACGGUACCCAAAGAAUAAGCACCGGCUAACUUCGUG